UGCCCGUCCGUGGGAGAGAGCAGCCCGGCUGCCGCCGAAGGGGAAAUCGCCCGAAAUCUCUCAGGCAAAAGAACCGCGAAUGGGUU
RNAcentral lists this non-coding RNA (86 nucleotides) under Chelativorans sp. RNAcentral describes it as "Glycine sequence". It matches the Rfam family "Glycine riboswitch aptamer". From Rfam's summary of the family: This family represents the bacterial glycine riboswitch. Glycine riboswitches usually consist of two metabolite-binding aptamers domains with similar structures in tandem. The record is from RNAcentral. Lineage: Bacteria; Pseudomonadati; Pseudomonadota; Alphaproteobacteria; Hyphomicrobiales; Phyllobacteriaceae.